UGGGGUGUAGCUCAAUGGUAAAGCACUUGCCUAGUAAAUAAAUGUGUGAGUCCCUGGGUUCAAUCCUCAGCACCACAA
This 78-nucleotide transfer RNA is filed under the name Heterocephalus glaber (naked mole-rat). It matches the Rfam family "tRNA". Rfam says of the family: Transfer RNA (tRNA) molecules are approximately 80 nucleotides in length. Their secondary structure includes four short double-helical elements and three loops (D, anti-codon, and T loops). The record is from Rfam by way of RNAcentral. Lineage: Eukaryota; Metazoa; Chordata; Mammalia; Rodentia; Bathyergidae.